AGAGUUUGAUCCUGGCUCAGGACGAACGCUGGCGGCGUGCUUAACACAUGCAAGUCGAACGGAAAGGCCCUUCGGGGUACUCGAGUGGCGAACGGGUGAGUAACACGUGGGUGAUCUGCCCUGCACUUUGGGAUAAGCCUGGGAAACUGGGUCUAAUACCGAAUAUGACCAUGCACUUCCUGGUGUGUGGUGGAAAGCUUUUGCGGUGUGGGAUGGGCCCGCGGCCUAUCAGCUUGUUGGUGGGGUAAUGGCCUACCAAGGCGACGACGGGUAGCCGGCCUGAGAGGGUGACCGGCCACACUGGGACUGAGAUACGGCCCAGACUCCUACGGGAGGCAGCAGUGGGGAAUAUUGCACAAUGGGCGCAAGCCUGAUGCAGCGACGCCGCGUGAGGGAUGACGGCCUUCGGGUUGUAAACCUCUUUCAGCACAGACGAAGCGCAAGUGACGGUAUGUGCAGAAGAAGGACCGGCCAACUACGUGCCAGCAGCCGCGGUAAUACGUAGGGUCCGAGCGUUGUCCGGAAUUACUGGGCGUAAAGAGCUCGUAGGUGGUUUGUCGCGUUGUUCGUGAAAACUCACAGCUUAACUGUGGGCGUGCGGGCGAUACGGGCAGACUUGAGUACUGCAGGGGAGACUGGAAUCCCUGGUGUAGCGGUGGAAUGCGCAGAUAUCAGGAGGAACACCGGUGGCGAAGGCGGGUCUCUGGGCAGUAACUGACGCUGAGGAGCGAAAGCGUGGGGAGCGAACAGGAUUAGAUACCCUGGUAGUCC
Molecule: ribosomal RNA, 771 nt
Filed under: uncultured bacterium
Lineage: Bacteria
Description: bacterial SSU rRNA
Rfam family: Bacterial small subunit ribosomal RNA
Source: RNAcentral